AAUUAAAAUUUUAAUCUAUUUUUACUGUUAAAAACUAACAUGGCUGACAAAAUAACCAAACAGUUAUACGUGGCGUAUCACGUGUACCUCAUGCUAACAUACAUGCCAUACAUAGACUAAUUUUUAAUAGCAUAAAUGGAUGAAACUUUUAGUA
Non-coding RNA from Gossypium raimondii (Peruvian cotton), 154 nucleotides. The record is from Rfam. NCBI's taxonomy places the organism in Eukaryota, Viridiplantae, Streptophyta, Magnoliopsida, Malvales, Malvaceae.